AUCGCUCAUUGUGUCCCCUGUAGAGCAAUGGACUUCUAAUCCAAAGGUCGUGGGUUCGAAUCCCACCAGGGAUG
This is a non-coding RNA of Trichonephila clavipes, 74 nucleotides long. The record is from the annotation of a GenBank genome assembly. Lineage: Eukaryota; Metazoa; Arthropoda; Arachnida; Araneae; Nephilidae.